RNAcentral lists this ribosomal RNA (540 nucleotides) under Mycolicibacterium mucogenicum. RNAcentral's name for it is "bacterial SSU rRNA". It matches the Rfam family "Bacterial small subunit ribosomal RNA", at positions 44 to 601 of the family's 1533-position model. The record is from RNAcentral. Lineage: Bacteria; Bacillati; Actinomycetota; Actinomycetes; Mycobacteriales; Mycobacteriaceae.
GUGCUUAACACAUGCAAGUCGAACGGAAAGGCCCUUCGGGGUACUCGAGUGGCGAACGGGUGAGUAACACGUGGGUGAUCUGCCCUGCACUUUGGGAUAAGCCUGGGAAACUGGGUCUAAUACCGAAUAGGACCACGCGCUUCAUGGUGUGUGGUGGAAAGCUUUUGCGGUGUGGGAUGGGCCCGCGGCCUAUCAGCUUGUUGGUGGGGUAAUGGCCUACCAAGGCGACGACGGGUAGCCGGCCUGAGAGGGUGACCGGCCACACUGGGACUGAGAUACGGCCCAGACUCCUACGGGAGGCAGCAGUGGGGAAUAUUGCACAAUGGGCGCAAGCCUGAUGCAGCGACGCCGCGUGAGGGAUGACGGCCUUCGGGUUGUAAACCUCUUUCAAUAGGGACGAAGCGCAAGUGACGGUACCUAUAGAAGAAGCACCGGCCAACUACGUGCCAGCAGCCGCGGUAAUACGUAGGGUNCGAGCGUUGUCCGGAAUUACUGGGCGUAAAGAGCUCGUAGGUGGUUUGUCGCGUUGUUCGUGAAAUC